This 254-nucleotide ribosomal RNA is filed under the name uncultured bacterium. Its description in RNAcentral is "partial 16S ribosomal RNA". It matches the Rfam family "Bacterial small subunit ribosomal RNA", at positions 524 to 776 of the family's 1533-position model. The record is from RNAcentral.
UACGUAGGGGGCGAGCGUUGUCCGAAGUUACUGGGCGUAAAGCGCGCGUAGGCGGUCCUUUAAGUCCGGGGUGAAAGGUUCAGCGCUCAACGUGAACAGUGCCCUGGAGACUGGGGGACUUGAGUGUGGGAGGGGGCAGUGGAAUUCCAGGUGUAGCGGUGAAAUGCGUAGAUAUCAGGAGGAACACCGAUGGCGAAGGCAGCUGCCUGGCCUGACACUGACGCUGAGGUGCGAAAGCGUGGGGAGCGAACGGG